RNAcentral lists this transfer RNA (74 nucleotides) under bacterium. RNAcentral's name for it is "tRNA-Pro". It matches the Rfam family "tRNA". From Rfam's summary of the family: Transfer RNA (tRNA) molecules are approximately 80 nucleotides in length. Their secondary structure includes four short double-helical elements and three loops (D, anti-codon, and T loops). The record is from RNAcentral.
CGGGCUGUAGUAUACCGGUAGUACGCGCCUUUCGGGUGGGUGUAGACUGGGUUCGAUUCCCAGCAGCCCGACAA